Molecule: ribosomal RNA, 322 nt
Filed under: uncultured eukaryote
Lineage: Eukaryota
Description: partial 18S ribosomal RNA
Rfam family: Eukaryotic small subunit ribosomal RNA
Source: RNAcentral
CCCUUAGAUGUUCUGGGCCGCACGCGUGCUACACUGAACGGUUCAAUGGGUGAGGUAGUGCGAAAGCAUGACCCAAUCUCAAAAUCCGUUCGUGCUGGGGAUAGAAGCUUGCAAUUCUCCUUCUUGAACGAGGAAUACCUUGUAAGCGCGAGUCAUCAUCUCGCGCUGAAUACGUCCCUGCCCUUUGUACACACCGCCCGUCGCUCCUACCGAUUGAGUGGUCCGGUGAGGCUUUGGGAGAGCUAAAUGGAUUGUGUUUCACAAACUAUUUGGCUUGAACUUAGUCAAACCUUACUACUUAGAGGAAGGAGAAGUCGUAACA